Mus musculus (house mouse) is the source of this 490-nucleotide long non-coding RNA. RefSeq annotates it as predicted gene, 40773. The transcript is spliced from 3 exons. The record is from RefSeq and is a predicted model, not a curated record. Lineage: Eukaryota; Metazoa; Chordata; Mammalia; Rodentia; Muridae.
GCCUUCAGUUGCCAAGAGCUCCUCAGUUAGAGGUGGGGCCGGCCUCAGGAGCGCAGAUUCCAUGCUCACAGGAAUGCUGACCGGCUUGCUCUUCUGCAGGUUGUCUGAGGCACAAUCUCACAGCAGAUUUCCUGGUCCGCUGGCUCUCACAAUCUUUCCCCUUCCCUCUUCUAAGAGGCUUCUUGAGUCUUGGAUGCAGGAGCUGUGCUGUAGAUGGGUCCCAUGGCACCGGAGACCUCCUUUCACGGCGUGUGUCUCAGCGGAGGCCACAGAAACGUUGGUCGUGGCAGCGGCGACUAUGCUGUUGUCAGUGGGGACUCCAUUGUGUCUGCAGAUUAAACAGAAGUUAGCCGUAAGUCACAAGUGCUGCCUGGAAGAGAAUGUUCUGCAUUUACUUAGAUCCUGUCCAGAGAGUCUGAUGGCUCAAAGAAUUUCCUGUGAGUGGAGGGACACAGCAAUUACUGGGAAACCACGCCUAUGCCUGGAGCAC